This 1401-nucleotide ribosomal RNA is filed under the name Staphylococcus sp. RNAcentral's name for it is "bacterial SSU rRNA". It matches the Rfam family "Bacterial small subunit ribosomal RNA". Lineage: Bacteria; Bacillati; Bacillota; Bacilli; Caryophanales; Staphylococcaceae. The record is from RNAcentral.
CUGCAAGUCGAGCGAACAGAUAAGGAGCUUGCUCCUUUGACGUUAGCGGCGGACGGGUGAGUAACACGUGGGUAACCUACCUAUAAGACUGGGAUAACUUCGGGAAACCGGAGCUAAUACCGGAUAACAUUUGGAACCGCAUGGUUCUAAAGUGAAAGAUGGUUUUGCUAUCACUUAUAGAUGGACCCGCGCCGUAUUAGCUAGUUGGUAAGGUAACGGCUUACCAAGGCGACGAUACGUAGCCGACCUGAGAGGGUGAUCGGCCACACUGGAACUGAGACACGGUCCAGACUCCUACGGGAGGCAGCAGUAGGGAAUCUUCCGCAAUGGGCGAAAGCCUGACGGAGCAACGCCGCGUGAGUGAUGAAGGGUUUCGGCUCGUAAAACUCUGUUAUUAGGGAAGAACAAACGUGUAAGUAACUGUGCACGUCUUGACGGUACCUAAUCAGAAAGCCACGGCUAACUACGUGCCAGCAGCCGCGGUAAUACGUAGGUGGCAAGCGUUAUCCGGAAUUAUUGGGCGUAAAGCGCGCGUAGGCGGUUUCUUAAGUCUGAUGUGAAAGCCCACGGCUCAACCGUGGAGGGUCAUUGGAAACUGGGAAACUUGAGUGCAGAAGAGGAAAGUGGAAUUCCAUGUGUAGCGGUGAAAUGCGCAGAGAUAUGGAGGAACACCAGUGGCGAAGGCGACUUUCUGGUCUGUAACUGACGCUGAUGUGCGAAAGCGUGGGGAUCAAACAGGAUUAGAUACCCUGGUAGUCCACGCCGUAAACGAUGAGUGCUAAGUGUUAGGGGGUUUCCGCCCCUUAGUGCUGCAGCUAACGCAUUAAGCACUCCGCCUGGGGAGUACGACCGCAAGGUUGAAACUCAAAGGAAUUGACGGGGACCCGCACAAGCGGUGGAGCAUGUGGUUUAAUUCGAAGCAACGCGAAGAACCUUACCAAAUCUUGACAUCCUUUGAAAACUCUAGAGAUAGAGCCUUCCCCUUCGGGGGACAAAGUGACAGGUGGUGCAUGGUUGUCGUCAGCUCGUGUCGUGAGAUGUUGGGUUAAGUCCCGCAACGAGCGCAACCCUUAAGCUUAGUUGCCAUCAUUAAGUUGGGCACUCUAGGUUGACUGCCGGUGACAAACCGGAGGAAGGUGGGGAUGACGUCAAAUCAUCAUGCCCCUUAUGAUUUGGGCUACACACGUGCUACAAUGGACAAUACAAAGGGCAGCUAAACCGCGAGGUCAUGCAAAUCCCAUAAAGUUGUUCUCAGUUCGGAUUGUAGUCUGCAACUCGACUACAUGAAGCUGGAAUCGCUAGUAAUCGUAGAUCAGCAUGCUACGGUGAAUACGUUCCCGGGUCUUGUACACACCGCCCGUCACACCACGAGAGUUUGUAACACCCGAAGCCGGUGGAGUA